Molecule: ribosomal RNA, 445 nt
Filed under: Micrococcus luteus
Lineage: Bacteria; Bacillati; Actinomycetota; Actinomycetes; Micrococcales; Micrococcaceae
Description: bacterial SSU rRNA
Rfam family: Bacterial small subunit ribosomal RNA
Source: RNAcentral
GAUGAACGCUGGCGGCGUGCUUAACACAUGCAAGUCGAACGAUGAAGCCCAGCUUGCUGGGUGGAUUAGUGGCGAACGGGUGAGUAACACGUGAGUAACCUGCCCUUGACUCUGGGAUAAGCCCGGGAAACUGGGUCUAAUACCGGAUAGGAGCGCCUGUCGCAUGACGGGUGCUGGAAAGAUUUUUCGGUCAUGGAUGGACUCGCGGCCUAUCAGCUUGUUGGUGAGGUAAUGGCUCACCAAGGCGACGACGGGUAGCCGGCCUGAGAGGGUGACCGGCCACACUGGGACUGAGACACGGCCCAGACUCCUACGGGAGGCAGCAGUGGGGAAUAUUGCACAAUGGGCGGAAGCCUGAUGCAGCGACGCCGCGUGAGGGAUGACGGCCUUCGGGUUGUAAACCUCUUUCAGCAGGGAAGAAGCGAAAGUGACGUACCUGCAGAAG